RNAcentral lists this ribosomal RNA (200 nucleotides) under uncultured Bacillus sp. Its description in RNAcentral is "partial 16S ribosomal RNA". It matches the Rfam family "Bacterial small subunit ribosomal RNA", at positions 431 to 622 of the family's 1533-position model. Lineage: Bacteria; Bacillati; Bacillota; Bacilli; Caryophanales; Bacillaceae. The record is from RNAcentral.
CUCUGUUGUUAGAAGAACAACCUGCCGUUCGUUAAUAGGGUGGUACCUUGACGGUACCUAACCAGAAAGCCACGGCUAACUACGUGCCAGCAGCCGCGGUAAUACGUAGGUGGCAAGCGUUGUCCGGAAUUAUUGGGCGUAAAGGGCUCGCAGGGGUUCCUUAAGUCUGAUGUGAAAGCCCCCGGCUCAACCGGGGAGGG